CAGCAGCCGCGGGAAUACGAAGGGGGCUAGCGUUGUUCGGAUUUACUGGGCGUAAAGCGCACGUAGGCGGAUCGAUCAGUCAGGGGUGAAAUCCCAGAGCUCAACUCUGGAACUGCCUUUGAUACUGUCGAUCUGGAGUAUGGAAGAGGUGAGUGGAAUUGCGAGUGUAGAGGUGAAAUUCGUAGAUAUUCGCAGGAACACCAGUGGCGAAGGCGGCUCACUGGCUCGAUACUGACGCUGAGGUGCGAAAGCGUGGGGAGCAAACAGGAUUAGAUACCCGCGUAGUCCCUGUCUCUUAUAC
RNAcentral lists this ribosomal RNA (301 nucleotides) under uncultured bacterium. RNAcentral describes it as "partial 16S ribosomal RNA". It matches the Rfam family "Bacterial small subunit ribosomal RNA", at positions 509 to 807 of the family's 1533-position model. The record is from RNAcentral.